AUUGAACGCUGGCGGCAGGCCUAACACAUGCAAGUCGAACGGUAACAGGAAGCAGCUUGCUGCUUCGCUGACGAGUGGCGGACGGGUGAGUAAUGUCUGGGAAGCUGCCUGAUGGAGUGGGAUAACUACUGGAAACGGUAGCUAAUACCGCAUAAUGUCGCAAGACCAAAGAGGGGGACCUUCGGGCCUCUUGCCAUCGGAUGUGCCCAGAUGGGAUUAGCUUGUUGGUGGGGUAACGGCUCACCAAGGCGACGAUCCCUAGCUGGUCUGAGAGGAUGACCAGCCACACUGGAACUGAGACACGGUCCAGACUCCUACGGGAGGCAGCAGUGGGGAAUAUUGCACAAUGGGCGCAAGCCUGAUGCAGCCAUGCCGCGUGUAUGAAGAAGGCCUUCGGGUUGUAAAGUACUUUCAGCGGGGAGGAAGGGAGUAAAGUUAAUACCUUGGCUCAUUGACGUUACCCGCAGAAGAAGCACCGGCUAACUCCGUG
This 490-nucleotide ribosomal RNA is filed under the name uncultured bacterium. RNAcentral describes it as "partial 16S ribosomal RNA". It matches the Rfam family "Bacterial small subunit ribosomal RNA", at positions 30 to 507 of the family's 1533-position model. The record is from RNAcentral.